This 368-nucleotide long non-coding RNA is filed under the name Gossypium raimondii (Peruvian cotton). RNAcentral describes it as "long non-coding RNA (GRAI_LNC007348)". Lineage: Eukaryota; Viridiplantae; Streptophyta; Magnoliopsida; Malvales; Malvaceae. The record is from RNAcentral.
AAACCUUCUACAUGUCCUCUUGCCUUUUUUGGCUCUCCACCUGUUAAGGUGAACCGGCCUCUUUCAAACCACCACAACCCCUUACUUGUUCUCCUCCUUGUUGUACUUUGUAUCAACAAUUGGUGUAAUGAGCAUGGAUUGAACCAUGACUUUCUCUUAGAACAAUGCUCCUCUCAACCCAAAAAACCCAACUAACUCCACCAACCCAGUGAACUCCUUUGCAUCGAUGAACCCCAUCAACCUCAUCGCCCUUGAGCUCUAUUGAAACCAAAACCAUGUUGCCUCAACUCAACGCUUUACUGGUUCCUUCCAACCUUCGUUCCUAUUCUCUCGACAUUCUCCUACGAUGCUAUCAAUUUCUCAACCUU